AUUGAACGCUGGCGGCGUGCUUAACACAUGCAAGUCGAACGGUAACAGGCCCUUCGGGGUGCUGACGAGUGGCGGACGGGUGAGUAAUGCGUAGGAAUCUGCCUUACAGUGGGGAUAACCUAGGGAACUUAGGCUAAUACCGCAUAAGCUCUACGGAGGAAAGCGGGGAUCGUAAGACCUCGCGCUGUUAGAUGAGCCUACGUCCGAUUAGCUAGUUGGUAGGGUAAAGGCCNCCAAGGCGACGAUCGGUAGCUGGUCUGAGAGGACGAUCAGCCACACUGGGACUGAGACACGGCCCAGACUCCUACGGGAGGGCAGCAGUGGGGAAGUA
This 331-nucleotide ribosomal RNA is filed under the name uncultured bacterium. RNAcentral's name for it is "bacterial SSU rRNA". It matches the Rfam family "Bacterial small subunit ribosomal RNA", at positions 30 to 364 of the family's 1533-position model. The record is from RNAcentral.